Small nuclear RNA from Nycticebus coucang (slow loris), 108 nucleotides. NCBI's taxonomy places the organism in Eukaryota, Metazoa, Chordata, Mammalia, Primates, Lorisidae. The record is from RefSeq and is a predicted model, not a curated record.
GUGCUGCUGGCAUUAGCGGCACAUAUACUAAAAUCGGAAUAAUACAGAGAAGAUUGGCACGGCUCCUGGGUGAGGAUGACAUGAAAAUUCAUGAAGCUUCAUGUUUUU